RNAcentral lists this long non-coding RNA (591 nucleotides) under Homo sapiens (human). RNAcentral describes it as "long non-coding RNA NONHSAT180116.1". The record is from RNAcentral. Lineage: Eukaryota; Metazoa; Chordata; Mammalia; Primates; Hominidae.
CGGAGCCGGGCGGGCGCCAUGGAGGGGCUGCGGCGGGGGCUGUCGCGCUGGAAGCGCUACCACAUCAAGGUGCACCUGGCGGACGAGGCGCUGCUGCUACCGCUGACCGUGCGGCCGCGGGACACGCUCAGCGACCUGCGCGCCCAGCUGGUGGGCCAGGGCGUGAGCUCCUGGAAGCGCGCCUUCUACUACAACGCGCGGCGGCUGGACGACCACCAGACGGUGCGCGACGCGCGCCUGCAGGACGGCUCGGUGCUGCUGCUCGUCAGCGACCCCAGCGAGGCGCAGCGGCUCACACCCGCAAUCCCAGCACUUUGGGAGGCUGAGGCAAGCAGAUCACUUGAGUCCAGGAGUUCAAGACCAGCCUGGCCAACAUGGUGAAACCCCAUCUCUACUAAAACUACAAAAAUUAGCCGGGCAUGAUGGCGCAUGCCUGUAAUCCCAGCUACUGGGGAGGCUGAGGCAAGAGAAUCGCUUGAGUCUGGGAGGCGGAGGUUGCAGUGAGCUGAGAUCGUGCCAUUACACUCUAGUCUGGGUGACAGGGUGAAACUCCGUCUCUAAAGAAAUAAAUAAUAAAAUUUUAUUUCACGC